Molecule: ribosomal RNA, 239 nt
Filed under: uncultured bacterium
Lineage: Bacteria
Description: partial 16S ribosomal RNA
Rfam family: Bacterial small subunit ribosomal RNA
Source: RNAcentral
CGGCGGACGGGUGAGUAACGCGUGGGUAACCUGCCUCAUACGAGGGGGGAACAGUUAAGAAAUGGCUGCUAAUACCGCAUAAGACCACGGUACUGCAUGGUACAGUGGUAAAAACUCCGGUGGUAUGAGAUGGACCCGCGUCUGAUUAGGUAGUUGGUGAGGUAACGGCCCACCAAGCCGACGAUCAGUAGCCGACCUGAGAGGGUGACCGGCCACAUUGGGACUGAGACACGGUCCAG